Molecule: ribosomal RNA, 460 nt
Filed under: uncultured bacterium
Lineage: Bacteria
Description: partial 16S ribosomal RNA
Rfam family: Bacterial small subunit ribosomal RNA
Source: RNAcentral
CCUACGGGAGGCAGCAGUGAGGACUAUUGCUCACGUGCCGUAAGGCUGAACCCUCCCCUUCUCUUUCUUUCCUCCUUCCCUCUUUUUUUUCCCCCUCUUUUAUGCUGGGAUAAAGGUGUCCACGUGUGGAUGUUUGCAGGUACCGCAUGAAUAAGGACCGGCUAAUUCCGUGCCAGCAGCCGCGGUAAUACGGAAGGUCCGGGCGUUAUCCGGAUUUAUUGGGUUUAAAGGGAGCGUAGGCCGGUCUUUAGGCGUGCCGUGAAAUUUUGUGGCUCAACCAUGAGAGUGCGGCGCGAACUGGAGACCUUGAGUGCGCGGAAGGCAGGCGGAAUUCGUGGUGUAGCGGUGAAAUGCUUAGAUAUCACGAAGAACCCCGAUUGCGAAGGCAGCCUGCCGCAGCGUUACUGACGCUGAAGCUCGAAAGCGCGGGUAUCGAACAGGAUUAGAUACCCCAGUAGUC